UACGUAGGUGGCGAGCGUUGUCCGGAUUUACUGGGCGUAAAGGGAGCGUAGGCGGACUUUUAAGUGAGAUGUGAAAUACUCGGGCUCAACUUGAGUGCUGCAUUUCAAACUGGAAGUCUAGAGUGCAGGAGAGGAGAAUGGAAUUCCUAGUGUAGCGGUGGAAUGCGUAGAUAUAUGGAGGAACACCGGUGGCGAAAGCGGCUCUCUGGCCUGUAACUGACACUGAGGCUCGAAAGCGUGGGGAGCAAACAGG
RNAcentral lists this ribosomal RNA (253 nucleotides) under uncultured bacterium. RNAcentral describes it as "partial 16S ribosomal RNA". It matches the Rfam family "Bacterial small subunit ribosomal RNA", at positions 524 to 776 of the family's 1533-position model. The record is from RNAcentral.